Molecule: ribosomal RNA, 434 nt
Filed under: uncultured bacterium
Lineage: Bacteria
Description: partial 16S ribosomal RNA
Rfam family: Bacterial small subunit ribosomal RNA
Source: RNAcentral
UAGGGAAUCUUCGGCAAUGGGGGCAACCCUGACCGAGCAACGCCGCGUGAGUGAAGAAGGUUUUCGGAUCGUAAAGCUCUGUUGUAAGUCAAGAACGGGUGUGAGAGUGGAAAGUUCACACUGUGACGGUAGCUUACCAGAAAGGGACGGCUAACUACGUGCCAGCAGCCGCGGUAAUACGUAGGUCCCGAGCGUUGUCCGGAUUUAUUGGGCGUAAAGCGAGCGCAGGCGGUUUGAUAAGUCUGAAGUUAAAGGCUGUGGCUCAACCAUAGUUCGCUUUGGAAACUGUCAAACUUGAGUGCAGAAGGGGAGAGUGGAAUUCCAUGUGUAGCGGUGAAAUGCGUAGAUAUAUGGAGGAACACCGGUGGCGAAAGCGGCUCUCUGGUCUGUAACUGACGCUGAGGCUCNAAAGCGUGGGGAGCGAACAGGAUUAG